This is a long non-coding RNA of Oncorhynchus keta (chum salmon), 2865 nucleotides long. RefSeq lists it as uncharacterized. The record is from RefSeq and is a predicted model, not a curated record. The transcript is spliced from 5 exons. NCBI's taxonomy places the organism in Eukaryota, Metazoa, Chordata, Actinopteri, Salmoniformes, Salmonidae.
GAGAAGAACGGUAUGAUGCUUGGUUUAUUUUUGUUGUGCCACGCAAAUGUACAAAUGGAAUACUAGACUCAAAGCAAAUGAACGUAGUUUUCAAGACAACUUCACUUGCUCGUUUGGGCAGCCACAACGCACAUUCUACCAAAUAGUUUAACGUUAUUUGAAAAAAAUGUGCUCUCUGGUUAGAGAUCGAGCUUUGGCGUCCAUUCGAGUACUCUAUUCAUGUCCAUCCCUAGAGUGAAGUUGUCAUCUGACUCAGCACUUCCCAGGCUGCCAGUUCUGAUGUCACCCAGUCCCCAUGUCACCACUGAGUCAUUCAGCCCUCAAAGGAAAACCAGAGUGUCUCAAAUGGCACCCCAUACCCUGUUUUAGUGUACUGCUUUUGACCAGGGCCCAUAGGGCUGUGGGGGGAAAUUUGAGCACUCUAAAGGUAAUAGGGUGCAGUUUGAGAUGCAAACAGACGGGAACCGUUGCAUGGACACUGUCACCAUGCAAGCUCAAACCUCCAAGGAACACCCUCGGCUUUCUUUUCCUCUCAGCGUCGGGAGAAUAGUUACAGUAACCAGGCAGAUGAGAGCUGGGUCCUAAUCAUUAGCAAGCAAAUGGAAGAAAACAGACUGAAACAGGGACAGACCAUCUGAACUUGUCCAAUAAGAAACGCUCAUUUUCGUUUUCCAUUACACACUGGAUUAAAACAUUUUGCUGUAAUGACUACAACACCGGCAAGUUGUUUACUAGUACAAAUGCUUUUUCUUUGUCGUUUCUUCCCCCCACUUGAAGCUCAAUCCCCCUGGGGUCCCUCCGCCCCUCUGCUCAAUCCCCUGGGUCCCUCCGCUCCGUCCCUCCCUCCACCCCCUCCCUCUCUCCCUCCCGCCCUAAUUCAUCAAUUCUGAUGGAAAUCAAAAGACUCGUUUGGAGUACAGAACAACACACCAUUACAGGAGAUUGAUCAUGCAUAAUAUCUGCAUCCGCCAUGUUGAAUUAGACACGGAACUGCCAUCAGUCACCUAACACAACACUCACAGCAAUGCUGAAUGGAGCAUUCAGCUUGUCCAACGAAACACCUAUCCCAGAAACAUUUCAGUUGUCUGAAGACUAAAAGAACUUUCCUCAGUUGUGAGGAAUGUUAAACUUAAUUUUGAGCCAAAUAGUUAUUUCAUCAUCCAAAAAGGGAGGUUCAAGUUACCUUCAUAUCCUGGAAAAUGCGAAAACAUUAUCACCGACUAACCAGAGAUUCCUACGAUGAGAUAAAAUACGAGAUUGUAUUGUCCAUUUAUUGUACUUUUCAAACAUGACCGACUCAAGCAGCCUACAUGUUAUUGUUUCCCAUGCUGCUCUUUGAUGUUCUCUCUGUUUCCUCUUCCUCCUGAGCUGGUUUGGAGUGAGUCUAUUACAAACAUGCUGCUCUUUGAUGUUCUCUCUGUUUCCUCUUCCUCCUGAGCUGGUUUGGAGUGAGUCUAUUACAAACAUGCUGCUCUUUGAUGUUCUCUCUGUUUCCUCUUCCUCCUGAGCUGGUUUGGAGUGAGUCUAUUACAAACAUGCUGCUCUUUGAUGUUCUCUCUGUUUCCUCUUCCUCCUGAGCUGGUUUGGAGUGAGUCUAUUACAAACAUGCUGCUCUUUGAUGUUCUCUCUGUUUCCUCUUCCUCCUGAGCUGGUUUGGAGUGAGUCUAUUACAAACAUGCUGCUCUUUGAUGUUCUCUCUGUUUCCUCUUCCUCCUGAGCUGGUUUGGAGUGAGUCUAUUACAAACAUGCUGCUCUUUGAUGUUCUCUCUGUUUCCUCUUCCUCCUGAGGUGGUUUGGAGUGAGUCUAUUACAAACAUGCUGCUCUUUGAUGUUCUCUCUGUUUCCUCUUCCUCCUGAGCUGGUUUGGAGUGAGUCUAUUACAAACAUGCUGCUCUUUGAUGUUCUCUCUGUUUCCUCUUCCUCCUGAGCUGGUUUGGAGUGAGUCUAUUACAAACAUGCUGCUCUUUGAUGUUCUCUCUGUUUCCUCUUCCUCCUGAGCUGGUUUGGAGUGAGUCUAUUACAAACAUGCUGCUCUUUGAUGUUCUCUCUGUUUCCUCUUCCUCCUGAGGUGGUUUGGAGUGAGUCUAUUACAAACAUGCUGCUCUUUGAUGUUCUCUCUGUUUCCUCUUCCUCCUGAGCUGGUUUGGAGUGAGUCUAUUACAAACAUGCUGCUCUUUGAUGUUCUCUCUGUUUCCUCUUCCUCCUGAGCUGGUUUGGAGUGAGUCUAUUACAAACAUGCUGCUCUUUGAUGUUCUCUCUGUUUCCUCUUCCUCCUGAGCUGGUUUGGAGUGAGUCUAUUACAAACAUGCUGCUCUUUGAUGUUCUCUCUGUUUCCUCUUCCUCCUGAGCUGGUUUGGAGUGAGUCUAUUACAAACAUGCUGCUCUUUGAUGUUCUCUCUGUUUCCUCUUCCUCCUGAGCUGGUUUGGAGUGAGUCUAUUACAAACAUGCUGCUCUUUGAUGUUCUCUCUGUUUCCUCUUCCUCCUGAGCUGGUUUGGAGUGAGUCUAUUACAAACAUGCUGCUCUUUGAUGUUCUCUCUGUUUCCUCUUCCUCCUGAGCUGGUUUGGAGUGAGUCUAUUACAAACAUGCUGCUCUUUGAUGUUCUCUCUGUUUCCUCUUCCUCCUGAGCUGGUUUGGAGUGAGUCUAUUACAAACAUGCUGCUCUUUGAUGUUCUCUCUGUUUCCUCUUCCUCCUGAGGUGGUUUGGAGUGAGUCUAUUACAAACAUGCUGCUCUUUGAUGUUCUCUCUGUUUCCUCUUCCUCCUGAGGUGGUUUGGAGUGAGUCUAUUACAAACAUGCUGCCGUCUUUGUCCUGGAUCCACAGCCUCUGAAACAGAUCGAUAACCAGUGUUUAUUUUGAUUGGU